This 661-nucleotide unclassified non-coding RNA is filed under the name Hevea brasiliensis (rubber tree). Lineage: Eukaryota; Viridiplantae; Streptophyta; Magnoliopsida; Malpighiales; Euphorbiaceae. The record is from RNAcentral.
GAAUAUAAAAUCAAAAAUAAAAGAAAAAAAAAAUGUAUUUUCACACAAGAAGGAUCAUAUUAAAGUUCAUAAACAACUCAUAAGAAAGCUUAAUACCCUAUGUUCUAAUAACAAGAUUUCUCUAUUACCACAUGCUAAUAGAACAUUCCAAAUUAGAAAAUCUAUUUUCAGAUAUAUCAUGAAUAAUAUAAAGACAUUUCUAAAUUGAUGAGCAUCAUACCUAAAUACUCAAAAGCACUGCUUAUAUGGCACUUCUGAAAAAAUUAAGUUUUUCUCAUCACUAUGAAACACAAACCGGUCUUGAACUUAGAGUUUAGCAGUAAAAAAUUAGGGUGACUUGGUGGCUACAAUAAGCUUCAUUGUACAUAAAGCAUAUAUUUACUCCAGCGGAUAAAAUUAACAUUAAAGCACUCAACAAAUUGCUUGUGAUCUUCAGCCUAGAGCACAUGAAAUGUGUUCCUAAUUUUUUUUAAUUAAACAAAUAAACAACUCAACAGGUUUAAAUUAUAUAAAAGGUUAAGCAUUAAGCCGUCAAAUGAAUAUCUUGAGUAGAAGUCAACAAUGUCAGGAGGUAUAAUUUUUCCUACCCAGUGCAUCACCUAUAAAGUCAUGAAAUCAAAAUUCAACUCUUUCCAUACCGAUGUUGCCCUCUGGUGUUAGC